Molecule: ribosomal RNA, 468 nt
Filed under: uncultured bacterium
Lineage: Bacteria
Description: partial 16S ribosomal RNA
Rfam family: Bacterial small subunit ribosomal RNA
Source: RNAcentral
GACGAACGCUGGCGGCGUGCUUAACACAUGCAAGUCGAACGGAAAGGCCCUGCUUUGGGGGGGUGCUCGAGUGGCGAACGGGUGAGUAACACGUGAGUAACCUGCCCUUGACUUUGGGAUAACUUCAGGAAACUGGGGCUAAUACCGGAUAGGAGCUCCUGCUGCAUGGGGGGGGUUGGAAAGGUUCGGCGGUUGGGGAUGGACUCGCGCCUUAUCAGCUUGUGGGUGGGGUAGUGGCUUACCAAGCCUUUGACGGGUAGCCGGCCUGGGAGGGUGACCGGCCACAUUGGGACUGGGAUACGGCCCAGACUCCUACGGGAGGCAGCAGUGGGGAAUAUUGCACAAUGGGCGGAAGCCUGAUGCAGCAACGCCGCGUGCGGGAUGACGGCCUUCGGGUUGUAACCCGCUUUCGCAUGUGACGAAGCGUGAGUGACGGUAAUGGGUAAAGAAGCACCGGCUAACUACGUG